Molecule: unclassified non-coding RNA, 352 nt
Filed under: soil metagenome
Description: partial contains 5.8S ribosomal RNA, internal transcribed spacer 2, and large subunit ribosomal RNA
Rfam family: 5.8S ribosomal RNA (bases 1-120)
Source: RNAcentral
GAUGAAGAACGUAGCGAAAUGCGAUAAGUAAUGUGAAUUGCAGAAUUCAGUGAAUCAUCGAAUCUUUGAACGCACAUUGCGCCCGCCAGUAUUCUGGCGGGCAUGCCUGUUCGAGCGUCAUUACAACCCUCAGGCCCCCGGGCCUGGCGUUGGGGAUCGGCGGAGCCCCCCGUGGGCACACGCCGUCCCCCAAAUACAGUGGUGGUCCCGCCGCAGCUUCCAUCGCGUAGUAGCUAACACCUCGCGACUGGAGAGCGGCGCGGCCACGCCGUAAAACACCCAACUCUUCUGAAGUUGACCUCGAAUCAGGUAGGAAUACCCGCUGAACUUAAGCAUAUCAAUAAGCGGAGGA